Regulatory RNA element from Lactobacillus selangorensis, 138 nucleotides. It matches the Rfam family "Ribosomal protein L20 leader". Rfam says of the family: This family is a putative r-protein leader autoregulatory structure found in B. subtilis and other low-GC Gram-positive bacteria. It is located in the 5' untranslated regions of mRNAs encoding initiation factor 3 followed by ribosomal proteins L35 and L20 (infC-rpmI-rplT). The record is from Rfam. NCBI's taxonomy places the organism in Bacteria, Bacillati, Bacillota, Bacilli, Lactobacillales, Lactobacillaceae.
AAAUAAAAGUAGAAGUUCCCGCUUCUCGCCUGAGGCAUAAAUAAGUGCCUGGGCUCAUGCAAGACUCUCUGUGGGAGAGUCGAAUGAAGUGUUGAAAGAGCGGGUUCAGUCUGACUGAAGCCGUUCUUUUUCUGCGUU